RNAcentral lists this ribosomal RNA (344 nucleotides) under uncultured bacterium. RNAcentral describes it as "bacterial SSU rRNA". It matches the Rfam family "Bacterial small subunit ribosomal RNA", at positions 8 to 334 of the family's 1533-position model. The record is from RNAcentral.
AGGGUUUGAUUCUGGCUCAGGAUGAACGCUGGCGGCGUGCCUAACACAUGCAAGUCGAGCGAAGCGCUUGGGUUUGAUUCUUCGGAUGACGACCCUUGUGACUGAGCGGCGGACGGGUGAGUAACGCGUGGGCAACCUGCCCUGUACAGGGGGAUAACAGUUAGAAAUGACUGCUAAUACCGCAUAAGCCCACAGCUUCGCAUGAAGCAGUGGGAAAAACUCCGGUGGUACAGGAUGGGCCCGCGUCUGAUUAGCUAGUUGGUAAGGUAACGGCUUACCAAGGCGACGAUCAGUAGCCGACCUGAGAGGGUGACCGGCCACAUUGGGACUGAGACACGGCCCAA